This 301-nucleotide ribosomal RNA is filed under the name uncultured bacterium. RNAcentral describes it as "partial 16S ribosomal RNA". It matches the Rfam family "Bacterial small subunit ribosomal RNA", at positions 509 to 808 of the family's 1533-position model. The record is from RNAcentral.
CAGCAGCCGCGGGAAUACGUAGGUCCCGAGCGUUGUCCGGAUUUAUUGGGCGUAAAGCGAGCGCAGGCGGUUAGAUAAGUCUGAAGUUAAAGGCUGUGGCUUAACCAUAGUACGCUUUGGAAACUGUUUAACUUGAGUGCAAGAGGGGAGAGUGGAAUUCCAUGUGUAGCGGUGAAAUGCGUAGAUAUAUGGAGGAACACCGGUGGCGAAAGCGGCCCUCUGGCUUGUAACUGACGCUGAGGCUCGAAAGCGUGGGGAGCAAACAGGAUUAGAUACCCCGGUAGUCCCUGUCUCUUAUACA